Molecule: unclassified non-coding RNA, 1671 nt
Filed under: Hevea brasiliensis (rubber tree)
Lineage: Eukaryota; Viridiplantae; Streptophyta; Magnoliopsida; Malpighiales; Euphorbiaceae
Source: RNAcentral
CAAGUAAAGCCUCCCAAUAAUGAGAAUUUCUGGAUUCAAACCUCUUACCUUGCAAGUAAAGCUUGGCUAGAAAUUAACUUUACGCCAUAGAUUCAACUACUUUGUUGAUUAAAUUACCCUGUUAUUAAUAAAGACUAAGCUAGUCACUCCAAUAAUUGGCUAUUGGCCUGAUAUAUUAUAUUGCAGUUGUACUCACUAGAAAAAUACUGUUACAUUAUUAAGGGGGGUUUACAUAUCCAUAGACAGCAAAGAAGGACUGAAUAACAGUGAGAAUAAGCAGGACUAAUGCAGCUAAAGCUGAGAGGAAAGCCCAUGGACUGUCAAAAUAAGUAUACUUGAACCCUGCCCAUCUCACAUGCCAAUCAUUAAAAUAAUACUGAUUCACACCCAUGAAAACUUCUCCUAGAUAACUAUUCUCAAUUUCGAAAAUAGUUCCAUUGCUUACCUGAUUGAAGAAUUUAACAAGUUCUUUGUCAGUUCCAAAGAAAUUCUCAAUGAUUUUGCGAUCUCUCAGAUACCCUGCAUCAAUAGGUGCGUUGUUGAGGCAGCUCAUGAAGAUAACAUAUGAUGUGAAGUGGGUUGAACCAUGCUUAUAACAUUGUUCAAAAGCAACGCAAUUGAUCAAGAAGGUGCUAAAGAAUUCAUCUAUUGACAAAUGUGGGAUUUCAAGAACUCCAUAACGUCUAAAUUUAAUGUCCAAGAAACUUUCAGCAGCAGGACUACUUGGAUUGAUCUCGACCCCAGCCACUUGGAGCUUCGCCACUGGUUGGAUCAGUCGAAGAAACUCCCCAUGAUCAACAUCUUUAGGAACUUCUUGGGGCUGCUUCAGGUCUUGAACAAAAGUCGAGCGAAACAAAUCCAACAAGUGCUUUCCACCAAGGUUCUUGUACUUUUCCAGGACUGCUUCAGGUCGUGAAAACGUGUGAUCAAAGAAUUUCAGGAUGAGUUCUGUCAAGGAAGGAAGAUCUUCUGCUUCGGAGGCUAAAAUUGAAAGCUCAUACAAAUUUUCCAGAACGAAGAUAGGGAUUUGAUUCUCUAGCCUGACAAAAUCCCUCAUAAGGGAAAAAGGUAUCCAUGGCAAACUGAAUAUAGAGUCACCCUCCUCAAAUUGAACUAAUCCUCCAGCUAUGCACAAGACCUCGAUAAUGAAACAUCCAUCAACAAUCAUCAUUUCAAUCAACUCAUGAUCGCUAUAUUUAUCUGUGCUCUCUGAAUAAUACUCUCUUAUCUUCUCCUUCUUCUUGGCUAUGGCCUUAUAAAAGUCGUCGAAUCCAUUACCGAAUUCUUGUGCCCGAGAAAGAGCAGCAUCAAGAAAUCGCCGUUUGUGCUCUUGAAUCAUCUGGAGGUGUUCUUUUCCAUGGUGGUAAGGGCCAAUGGAGACUAUUUGUGGAUGGAAGGCUUCGGGGUGAAUUUUCAGAAGACUUUGAGGCACCCUGAAGAUAGAACAAGGGUUCUUGCCUGCUGAUUUCUUCAACAACUUGGGCACUUCUUCCAUUAAUGAAUGUAACAAUAGUUUCUCGUUUACUUCUCCCUCUGCUGGGAUGCUGAUCAUUACAUGUUGAGAGGGAGUUUCUCCAAUCUCUUGGUUUCGGGUGCCAGGGAGAUUUGACAUUGUGUCCACUGAUGGGUUUUCCUUUGGAAGAAAGUGGCAGCUUUGGGACUUGGGAGAAG